Molecule: transfer RNA, 70 nt
Filed under: Darevskia praticola
Lineage: Eukaryota; Metazoa; Chordata; Lepidosauria; Squamata; Lacertidae
Description: tRNA-Thr
Rfam family: tRNA
About the family: Transfer RNA (tRNA) molecules are approximately 80 nucleotides in length. Their secondary structure includes four short double-helical elements and three loops (D, anti-codon, and T loops).
Source: RNAcentral
GCCCUAGUAGCUUAAAAUUUAAAGCCCUGGUCUUGUAAACCAAAGAUGAGAUACACCCCUCCUAGGUCAA